GUCCCCUCCCAUCUCCAGGACUUUGCACGCGUUGGCUGCCUCUCUGCUCUUUGAGUUUACGAACUCCUAUUCGCCCCUCAGAGUCCUUAAUCUUGAGUUCUCCUUGAAGCCUGCCUUGAUUCCCCAGUAGAAGUGGGGGUCCCCUCCUCUGUACUCCAUCAGACUGCUCACACGGCAGUCAGGCACUUCUCAUGCUGAGUUGCUGUUUGUGAGGGAAGGGCUGGGGCCCCAUCACUCCUGUGCCUUUGGAGUUGGCGGGGGGUCGGUUUUCAUGUCUUUGGUGCUCAAGAAGGGAAGGGCGUCAAGGGAGCAGGUGGACCUGAGAUCCCUGCGGAAGCAGGAGAGGAAGGGGGAUGGAACAGCAUCCUUUGAUGAGCGGAGGGAGAAAGGACUGAAAUCACCUGGUGCCACGGUAACAGCGGAGACCAGUGGAGACCAGCUCCGGCCGCUGGUGUUCUGAGGAGAGCGACUGCGAAGGGCCUCCUCCACCUGCCAGAAGAGGGGAGGGAAGGUAACAGCCUUGGGCUCGAGCCCGGGGACCUCUGCCAGCGGCCACGUCCAGCCCACAGCCCCAGGGAGGGCCAGGAGGAACCACAGAGCCCGAUCUCCCCAGGCUGGGGGCCGAGCCCAGGCGAACCCGCCUCCCCAGGGGGCUUCAGAUGCAGAAAUCAGCUUUCUGUCCUAGAAUGGAGCCCAGCCGCCCGGGCCUGUCGUCACAGCGUCCGAAGUCUGUCCCAUCAGAGGCCAGCUGCCCGGAGGGUAACGCAGGCUCAGCUCUCUCUGGCUUUGGGAGUGCUUGCUUGCUUCCCAGGGCUCACAGACGAGGCCAUCUGCUGCCAUCCUGGCUCCCUUGGUUCUGUUCAAUGUCCUGGCGACUCAGGACCAUGACACUCUUCCCCAAACCCCAUUGAAAAUGCAGCUCUUCUAGCCUUGAGAGCCUGCCUUCCAACCUCAGGUGCUUGUCCAGCUACUGCUGAGCUAUUGACUGCAGGAGUACCUCCAGGCCUUGGGCAACUCUACUUUCCCUGGCCAGGGGCCCACUCUUGCUGCAGACUCUUCUUCCCUAACCCGAGUGCAUGCCAGCCAUCUUCAUUCAAGCCCUUUCCCACCCCCCUAAAGCCUCCAGCCCUGCUGCCUUCUGAGGUCCCCCACCUGGCUGAGAGCCUCCUCCCUGUGCUGAGAAGUGCCGCCACCAGUCUUCGCUCCCAUGCGUUCCUACAACCCUGACUGGUACCUAGACUUCUGUGAUGCUUCACAGUGGGUUUCUGCAGUCAGCUCCCUUCCCCUUUCUUGAUUUCAAAUCUUCUCCAUGCUCCUGAAGCUUUGGGUCCCUCAUCUCCUCCCAAUCAGAUGACCUCACCUCCUGUGCUGUGCUGUGCUUAAUACUCAGUCGGAUCUGACUCUUGGAGACCCCAUGAACUGUAGCCUGCCAGGAUCCUCUGUCCAUGGGGAUUCUCCAAGCAGGAAUAC
Molecule: long non-coding RNA, 1470 nt
Organism: Bos taurus (domestic cattle)
Lineage: Eukaryota; Metazoa; Chordata; Mammalia; Artiodactyla; Bovidae
Source: Ensembl